CCUACGGGUGGCUGCAGUGAGGAAUAUUGGUCAAUGGACGGAAGUCUGAACCAGCCAAGCCGCGUGCAGGAAGACGGUUCUAUGAGUUGUAAACCGCUUUUGUCCAAGGGCAAACCUGAAUACGCGUAUCCAGCUGAGAGUACUGUACGAAUAAGGAUCGGCUAACUCCGUGCCAGCAGCCGCGGUAAUACGGAGGAUACAAGCGUUAUCCGGAUUUAUUGGGUUUAAAGGGUGGGUAGGCGGGUUGAUAAGUUAGAGGUGAAAUGUCCGAGCUUAACUCGGGAACUGCCUCUAAUACGGUUGAUCUAGAGAGUAGAUGCGGUAUGCGGAAUGUAUGGUGUAGCGGUGAAAUGCUUAGAGAUCAUACAGAACACCGAUUGCGAAGGCAGCUUACCAAUCUAUAACUGACGUUGAGGCACGAAAGCGUGGGGAGCGAACAGGAUUAGAUACCCUAGUAGUC
This 460-nucleotide ribosomal RNA is filed under the name uncultured bacterium. Its description in RNAcentral is "partial 16S ribosomal RNA". It matches the Rfam family "Bacterial small subunit ribosomal RNA", at positions 338 to 795 of the family's 1533-position model. The record is from RNAcentral.